Molecule: non-coding RNA, 90 nt
Organism: Acanthosepion pharaonis
Lineage: Eukaryota; Metazoa; Mollusca; Cephalopoda; Sepiida; Sepiidae
Source: the annotation of a GenBank genome assembly
AACUCAUUCCCGUAUGAUCACCGAAGUUAAGCAAAGUCGUGCCUGGUCAGUACCUAGAUGGGUGAAUGCUUGGGAAUACCAGUUGCGGUA